Molecule: ribosomal RNA, 1346 nt
Filed under: uncultured bacterium
Lineage: Bacteria
Description: partial 16S ribosomal RNA
Rfam family: Bacterial small subunit ribosomal RNA
Source: RNAcentral
GACGAACGCUGGCGGCGUGCUUAACACAUGCAAGUCGAACGGAAAGGCCCUGCUUUUGUGGGGUGCUCGAGUGGCGAACGGGUGAGUAACACGUGAGUAACCUGCCCUUGACUUUGGGAUAACUUCAGGAAACUGGGGCUAAUACCGGAUAGGAGCUCCUGCUGCAUGGUGGGGGUUGGAAAGUUUCGGCGGUUGGGGAUGGACUCGCGGCUUAUCAGCUUGUUGGUGGGGUAGUGGCUUACCAAGGCUUUGACGGGUAGCCGGCCUGAGAGGGUGACCGGCCACAUUGGGACUGAGAUACGGCCCAGACUCCUACGGGAGGCAGCAGUGGGGAAUAUUGCACAAUGGGCGGAAGCCUGAUGCAGCAACGCCGCGUGCGGGAUGACGGCCUUCGGGUUGUAAACCGCUUUCGCCUGUGACGAAGCGUGAGUGACGGUAAUGGGUAAAGAAGCACCGGCUAACUACGUGCCAGCAGCCGCGGUGAUACGUAGGGUGCGAGCGUUGUCCGGAUUUAUUGGGCGUAAAGGGCUCGUAGGUGGUUGAUCGCGUCGGAAGUGUAAUCUUGGGGCUUAACCCUGAGCGUGCUUUCGAUACGGGUUGACUUGAGGAAGGUAGGGGAGAAUGGAAUUCCUGGUGGAGCGGUGGAAUGCGCAGAUAUCAGGAGGAACACCAGUGGCGAAGGCGGUUCUCUGGGCCUUUCCUGACGCUGAGGAGCGAAAGCGUGGGGAGCGAACAGGCUUAGAUACCCUGGUAGUCCACGCUGUAAACGGUGGGUACUAGGUGUGGGGUCCAUUCCACGGGUUCCGUGCCGUAGCUAACGCUUUAAGUACCCCGCCUGGGGAGUACGGCCGCAAGGCUAAAACUCAAAGGAAUUGACGGGGCCCCGCACAAGCGGCGGAGCAUGCGGAUUAAUUCGAUGCAACGCGUAGAACCUUACCUGGGUUUGACAUGGAUCGGGAGUGCUCAGAGAUGGGUGUGCCUCUUUUGGGGUCGGUUCACAGGUGGUGCAUGGCUGUCGUCAACUCGUGUCGUGAGAUGUUGGGUUAAGUCCCGCAACGAGCGCAACCCUUGUUCACUGUUGCCAGCACGUUAUGGUGGGGACUCAGUGGAGACCGCCGGGGUCAACUCGGAGGAAGGUGGGGAUGACGUCAAGUCAUCAUGCCCCUUAUGUCCAGGGCUUCACGCAUGCUACAAUGGCUGGUACAGAGAGUGGCGAGCCUGUGAGGGUGAGCGAAUCUCGGAAAGUCGGUCUCAGUUCGGAUUGGGGUCUGCAACUCGACCUCAUGAAGUCGGAGUCGCUAGUAAUCGCAGAUCAGCAACGCUGCGGUGAAUACGUUCCCGGGGCU